UUACUGAGUUUACGCUCUACAACCCUUUGUGAACAUACCUAUAACUGUUGCUUCGGCGGGUAGGGUCUCCGUGACCCUCCCGGCCUCCCGCCCCCGGGCGGGUCGGCGCCCGCCGGAGGAUAACCAAACUCUGAUUUAACGACGUUUCUUCUGAGUGGUACAAGCAAAUAAUCAAAACUUUUAACAACGGAUCUCUUGGUUCUGGCAUCGAUGAAGAACGCAGCGAAAUGCGAUAAGUAAUGUGAAUKGCAGAAUUCAGUGAAUCAUCGAAUCUUUGAACGCACAUUGCGCCCGCCAGCAUUCUGGCGGGCAUGCCUGUUCGAGCGUCAUUUCAACCCUCAAGCUCUGCUUGGUGUUGGGGCCCUACAGCUGAUGUAGGCCCUCAAAGGUAGUGGCGGACCCUCCCGGAGCCUCCUUUGCGUAGUAACUUUACGUCUCGCACUGGGAUCCGGAGGGACUCUUGCCGUAAAACCCCCAAUUUUCCAAAGGUUGACCUCGGAUCAGGUAGGAAUACCCGCUGAACUUAAGCAUAUCAAUAAGCGGAGGAAAAGAAACCAACAGGGAUUGCCUCAGUAACGGCGAGUGAAGCGGCAACAGCUCAAAUUUGAAAUCUGGCCCUAGGCCCGAGUUGUAAUUUGCAGAGGAUGCUUUUGGUGCGGUGCCUUCCAAGUUCCCUAGAACGGGACGCCAGAGAGGGUGAGAGCCCCGUACAGUUGGACACCAAGCCUUUGUAAAGCUCCUUCGACGAGUCGAGUAGUUUGGGAAUGCUGCUCAAAAUGGGAGGUAUAUUUCUUCUAAAGCUAAAUACCGGCCAGAGACCGAUAGCGCACAAGUAGAGUGAUCGAAAGAUGAAAAGCACUUUGAAAAGAGGGUUAAACAGCACGUGAAAUUGUUAAAAGGGAAGCGCUUGUGACCAGACUUGCGUCCGGUGAAUCACCCAGCUCUCGCGGCUGGGGCACUUCGCCGGCUCAGGCCAGCAUCAGCUCGCUGUCGGGGACAAAAGCUUCAGGAACGUAGCUCUCUUCGGGGAGUGUUAUAGCCUGUUGCAUAAUACCCUUCGGCGGGCUGAGGUACGC
RNAcentral lists this unclassified non-coding RNA (1076 nucleotides) under leaf metagenome. RNAcentral describes it as "partial contains internal transcribed spacer 1, 5.8S ribosomal RNA, internal transcribed spacer 2, and large subunit ribosomal RNA". The record is from RNAcentral.